This 421-nucleotide ribosomal RNA is filed under the name Fusobacteriota bacterium. Its description in RNAcentral is "Fusobacteria bacterium partial 16S ribosomal RNA". It matches the Rfam family "Bacterial small subunit ribosomal RNA", at positions 355 to 776 of the family's 1533-position model. Lineage: Bacteria; Fusobacteriati; Fusobacteriota. The record is from RNAcentral.
UGGGGAAUAUUGCACAAUGGACGGAAGUUUGAUGCAGCGACGCCGCGUGGAGGGUGUAGGCCUUCGGGUUGUGAACUCCUUUUUCUCGCGAAAAAGGCACAGUUUUGGCUGUGUUGAUGGUAGUGGGGGAAGAAGCGCCGGCUAACUACGUGCCAGCAGCCGCGGUAAUACGUAGGGCGCGAGCGUUGUCCGGAUUUAUUGGGCGUAAAGGGCUCGUAGGCGGUUUGUCGCGUCUGCUGUGAAAGACCGGGGCUUAACUCCGGGGUUGCAGUGGGUACGGGCAGGCUAGAGUGCGGUAGGGGUAGCUGGAAUUCCUGGUGUAGCGGUGGAAUGCGCAGAUAUCAGGAGGAACACCGAUGGCGAAGGCAGGUUACUGGGCCGUUACUGACGCUGAGGAGCGAAAGCAUGGGGAGCGAACAGG